UACGUAAGGGGACAGGUCUGCUCUACGUAAGAGGACAGGUCCAGGUCUGCUCUAAGUAAGGGGACAGGUCUGCUCUAAGUAAGGGGACAGGUCUGCUCUAUGUAAGGGGACAGGUCUGCUCUACGUAAAAGGACAGGUCUGCUCUACGUAAAAGGACAGGUCUGCUCUACGUAAAAGGACAGGUCUGCUCUACGUAAAAGGACAGGUCUGCUCUACGUAAGAGGACAGGUCCAGGUCUGCUCUAUGUAAGGGGACAGGUCUGCUCUAUGUAAGGGGACAGGUCUGCUCUAUGUAAGGGGACAGGUCUGCUCUAUGUAAGGGGACAGGUCUGCUCUAUGUAAGGGGACAGGUCUGCUCUACGUAAGGGGACAGGUCUGCUCUACGUAAAAGGACAGGUCUGCUCUACGUAAAAGGACAGGUCUUCUCUACGUAAGAGGACAGGUCCAGGUCUGCUCUACGUAAGGGGACAGGUCCAGGUCUGCUCUACGUAAGGGGACAGGUCUGCUCUACGUAAGGGGACAGGUCUGCUCUACGUAAGGGGACAGGUCUGCUCUACGUAAGGGGACAGGUCUGCUCUACGUAAGGGGACAGGUCAGCUCUACGUAAGGGGACAGGUCUGCUCUACGUAAGGGGACAGGUCUGCUCUACGUAAGGGGACAGGUCAGCUCUAUGUAAGGGGACAGGUCUGCUCUACGUAAGGGGACAGGUCUGCUCUACGUAAGGGGACAGGUCAGCUCUAUGUAAGGGGACAGGUCUGCUCUAUGUAAGGGGACAGGUCUGCUCUAGGUAAGGGGACAGGUCUGCUCUACGUAAGGGAACAGGUCUGCUCU
Long non-coding RNA from Bufo bufo (common toad), 830 nucleotides. RefSeq lists it as uncharacterized. The record is from RefSeq and is a predicted model, not a curated record. The transcript is spliced from 3 exons. NCBI's taxonomy places the organism in Eukaryota, Metazoa, Chordata, Amphibia, Anura, Bufonidae.